RNAcentral lists this small RNA (317 nucleotides) under Arabidopsis thaliana (thale cress). Its description in RNAcentral is "ATSL009610". The record is from RNAcentral. Lineage: Eukaryota; Viridiplantae; Streptophyta; Magnoliopsida; Brassicales; Brassicaceae.
AAAUUAAUAUUAUAUUAUAAUUUGAUUUUUUGAUUAAAAAAAUAUUUUUAUUAAAAAGUUGAAUCAAUAAUUAAAAGGGAAUUAUCAUGAUGGAUUGUAGAGAAUAUCUCAGAGUUUCUCAAGUAAGAAACUUUCUACUCUCUCUCCUUCAUUUUUAUUAUUUUUAUUUUUUAAUUGUGAGAAACUCUUAUAAAAAACCCCCAAUGAAAAUGGUCUAACUUUCUUUUCCGUUGAAUUUCUCUCAUGUAUUAACAGUAACAUAAGUAUUUAUAUCACAUACACUUGUCAAAUUUGUCUCUUUAGAGAUUUUAAAAAGU